Molecule: ribosomal RNA, 406 nt
Filed under: uncultured bacterium
Lineage: Bacteria
Description: partial 16S ribosomal RNA
Rfam family: Bacterial small subunit ribosomal RNA
Source: RNAcentral
AUUGAACGCUGGCGGCAGGCCUAACACAUGCAAGUCGAACGAGCGGCGGACGGGUGAGUAAUGUAUGGGGAACUGCCCGAUGGAGGGGGAUAACUACUGGAAACGGUGGCUAAUACCGCAUACUAUCGGAUGUACCCAUAUGGGAUUAGCUAGUAGGUGGGGUAACGGCUCACCUAGGCGACGAUCCCUAGCUGGUCUGAGAGGAUGACCAGCCACACUGGAACGGAGACACGGUCCAGACGCCUACGGGAGGCAGCAGUGGGGAAUAUUGCACGAUGGGCGCAAGCCUGAUGCAGCCAUGCCGCGUGUAUGAAGAAGGCCUUCGGGUUGUAAAGUACUUUCAGCGAGGAGGCGUUACUCGCAGAAGAAGCACCGGCUAACUCCGUGCCAGCAGCCGCGGUAAUUC